This is a non-coding RNA of Bacteriovorax sp. MedPE-SWde, 186 nucleotides long. Lineage: Bacteria; Pseudomonadati; Bdellovibrionota; Bacteriovoracia; Bacteriovoracales; Bacteriovoracaceae. The record is from Rfam.
CAGUACCGAAGGGGUGCAUCUUUCAGAUAGCUAUAGUUAGGAAUGUAAAGCAAUUGUUCCAACGAUCUAGAGUGAGGGGAAAGUUGCCGAAGCAGGAAUCUUGUUCUUUACACAGAUCUCUGCUGGUUACCAAGGGAGAAGCCUUGGAACUGUCAUCAUAGACUUUGAUGGAGCACUUCGGGGAUU